Molecule: small nucleolar RNA, 134 nt
Filed under: Otolemur garnettii (small-eared galago)
Lineage: Eukaryota; Metazoa; Chordata; Mammalia; Primates; Galagidae
Description: Small nucleolar RNA U3 (ENSOGAG00000021771.1)
Rfam family: Small nucleolar RNA U3 (bases 1-96)
About the family: Small nucleolar RNAs (snoRNAs) are involved in the processing and modification of rRNA in the nucleolus. There are two main classes of snoRNAs: the box C/D class, and the box H/ACA class.
Source: RNAcentral
AAGACUAUACCUUCAGGGAUCAUUUCUAUAGUUUGUUACUAGAGAAGUUUUUCUGAAUAUAUAAAGCACCAGGGGAAAAAAAGAAAAGAAAACUGAAAAUCAGGAGUUUGCUGUUUGGGUUAGUGUCUGUUUUU